GAUUUCGUAGUUUAAUGGAAAAACAACGCCUUAUAGUAACGAUUGUAUUAUGAGCGGUAAUGUGGGCUCGAGACCCACCGGAAUCA
This 86-nucleotide transfer RNA is filed under the name Lacticaseibacillus saniviri JCM 17471 = DSM 24301. RNAcentral describes it as "Lactobacillus saniviri JCM 17471 = DSM 24301 tRNA". It matches the Rfam family "tRNA". From Rfam's summary of the family: Transfer RNA (tRNA) molecules are approximately 80 nucleotides in length. The record is from Rfam by way of RNAcentral. Lineage: Bacteria; Bacillati; Bacillota; Bacilli; Lactobacillales; Lactobacillaceae.